CCGGUGCUCUUUAAUUAUCGGCACUUUGUUUUUAUUUUGAGCUCAGCUGGCUCAGCCGCUUAGCGAUCAGCCUCUCUGCUGUGACGAAGUUUAUCGCAGCUGUCCGCGAUCAUUCAAACCUUCGCCCGCUUGCUGUAGCUUGACGGCUGGACAGGCAGCGAAAGCAUGGCUUACUGCGCGUGGAACGGAUCGGAGAAGUACAGAGACACGUUCGUUUCAGGGACUUACGUGUGCUCGCAGUGCGGGUACGAGCUGUUCUCGAGCCGCUCCAAGUUCUCCCACAACUCCCCGUGGCCGGCCUUCACGGAGACUGUGCAUGCAGACAGUGUCACCAAGCGCCCCGAGAUGGGACGGCCCGGCGCACUCAAGGUGUUCUGCGGCAAGUGCAAUCAGGGUCUGGGGCACGAGUUCCUAAAGGACGGCCCCGACAAGAAGUCCCGCUUCUGAAUAUUCUCCGAGUCCCUGCGCCUGGUCCCCAACUCGGAAGCAGACGGGACUUCGUCCGAAGCGGGGAACGGUCCAACUCUCGACCAGACGCCCAAGCCGGUGGGACUCCUCUACCGGUGCAGCCUCAUGUAGCGGCCACCAGCACCAUCUGCAACCGUUGCCGGGACGACAGCUACAGAUGCUUUCUAGCUUCCACCCGCUUCGCUUGGCGUGCUGUGCUUGCCGUAUAAUGGGGUCUUCAAAAUGGUGCCUUGGAACGAUGAUGCCUUCGAUAUGUAAAUUUGGUCGCAAUUUCGGUGCCAUAGACCAGUGACGGAUGUACCGCCGCGGACAAAGUGGAGUGAGCCGACGCGCUUAUCCCACCCGAUCGUGUUAGGAGAAACCUUUCUUUGUCUGAAUGAUACAUUUUACACACCACUACCCAGUUUCGUGUAUUCCACUUUCUCUUGUGUGCGACACUUGGCUUGAGGUUUGCCAAAGACUGCGAGCGUGAACUUGUUUCAUAGACUGUUUUGUUGCAGGGGAAUGCAACUAAGUCAUGUUGGGGCACAAAUUCAUGUAUGGUCCCAGUAUCCAUUGGGCAUUCUCUGAAUGUCGUCAGAACCACGUAUUCGCUUUGGGUGCAUAUAGGAUUUUUUUUUCAAGAGCGGCCGUCUCAACACGGGCUUAAGCUGAGCUAGUUGGUUUAUUGCUCUCGAUGGGCCAGCUGAACAAAGAUUACAUCACACACAAAAAACACCAUUCACACUGCUGGCAAGAAGGUUAAGAGUUACGAGGCUAGUUCUCUGAGCACGCCUUGUAUCUCUUUUAACCUUCUUGCCAGCAGUGUGAAUGCCACUUUUGUGUGUAGUAUAAUCUUUGUUCAGACAGUCAUCUUAAGCUUAAACUGGCGCAUGAAAUACAGAUGGCUUUGACAACUGUGGAGGGGAGGGAUCCAUUGGAUACUGAACAAGACUCCCAUCGGAACGCGUGUCUAGUCUGCCCCACGUUGGCCUUCUUCCAGCGACGCCCAAUAUUCAGCACUAUGACUGUGUUAUCUAGCAGCUGUUUCGUUAUUCCCUCUCCUCUGAACCAGUAAACUACUUUCGAGUCGCUAUUUUCUGACUUUCAGACGUCGAGAAGCAAAGUGCAACGGCAAGAAGUCUACCCCAUUUACUGGGUAGACCUUUGAUGUUUUGACGCUGUUAUCUGCAAUGUACAGGUUAACCUUCGAAUGCACGUGGGUGGUCGGCGCGUUGGCUCAUUUCCCGCCUUUUCGCUGGGAGUGGGGCAGACGACGAGCGGCUUGGCGGUGCCUUCUGCAGUAAUGACGCAGCACUGACAAAGCCUGUCGAGUUGACGGGCGCAGUGUUGCUGAAGAAGCUUCCCGCAGGACACUGGCCAGGCUGUCUUUGAGGUUCUGCCCCGCUACCAGCUCUCUCCCUACCUCUAAAUGUGUGCGACGUAUCUAUGUAUAAAUCAACUUUUGUACCUUGUGAGCAUGCACUGCUGGAGGAAGGUGCGACCGGAACAACAUUUUAGCGAGUUUGUUUCAUGUUUUCAAGCGUUUUAGAAGGAUGCAUAAUCAUAAACUUGAAGCAACUUCGAUCUUUAAAAAAAUCGGGUGUGAAAAAUGCACUCGACAUCAUGCUGAACAAACCCAGCGAAGAGGGAAUAAACAAUAUUAAAUGCCAAAGGGCACCUGUGGUUUUCUUUUUUGUUCCGUGAUCUAUAGCAUUGAAGUAUUAUUGAAAUGUUCCAAGUAGCCCUGGAACAAACACGACACUGUACUUCAAAGAAGGGACAAGCACUUGCGUCUGUUACCUCGCCUCUGGCCUUUGCCGAUACGAUUGCUUGCCAAAUCAUAUUUCGAUACUCAACAUACCAAAUUUCUGAUGGCAUAAUGUGAUUGGCUCAGCUUGCAAGCCAGUGAAAUAUUUUGUAGUCUUUUCCUUGUGACCUGCAUGUUAAACUAUAGUCGCCAGCGAUUUCCCUACCCACCCCCUGGGGGAGGAAGGGGGGUAGACCCCCCUAGCUUGUCUGAGGGCACUCCCUGAAAUAAUCUUCUGCUAAGAAAAAUAAUUAAUAUUUAUUUUGUGCAAAACCGUUGUUUUCUUGAGCACGCUGGCUCAAAAGUGGUUCCUACAUGGAGUUAACGUCCCAAUAGCAUCAAGGCACGAGCUGUUUUGUCGCGCCUUUCCGCUGCUUAGCUCCUUGGGUGAAGGAGAACAGAGGAAAGGUUUGUUCAUUGAAGAGGUGUGUUCGUUGUUUACAUUCAUUGCGGCAUCGCAGUAUGGAUGCCGCGACUGAUAUUUUGAUGUUGCUUUUUGCAUUACUUUGUGCUUUCUUAAGAAAAUUGUGCAUUCUUCUUUAAAUGCUUAAACAUUAACGUUGAAUGUAGAGUUCCGGAACCUCUGUCGGGCACACACAAAAAGGAACAGCAAAAAAAUAGUGAAGUAAAUAGAGAAAAGAAAUUGCCUCCUUGAGCCUAACUCCCAGACCCCUGGAAAUUCGACACCACCCCCCAAUUUCUAUUUCUAGGGAAAUCCCCAAUGGUCACUCCUCUUGUGCUAGUUCAUUUGUUGUAUUUUUCACCUCGAUGAGAUUGCAAUAAGGAUUGCAUGUAAUGAUUGUCUUCUACCGUGCCUUAUGAACUCUAUUAAAAGUUUGGCUUAUACAACUGUU
Molecule: RNA transcript, 3111 nt
Organism: Ixodes scapularis (black-legged tick)
Lineage: Eukaryota; Metazoa; Arthropoda; Arachnida; Ixodida; Ixodidae
Gene name: methionine-R-sulfoxide reductase B1-like
Exons: 4
Source: RefSeq, a predicted model, not a curated record